Non-coding RNA from Odocoileus virginianus texanus, 876 nucleotides. The record is from RefSeq and is a predicted model, not a curated record. Lineage: Eukaryota; Metazoa; Chordata; Mammalia; Artiodactyla; Cervidae.
UCUGCACAGCACAGCUCAUAUCUGUAUUGAGUUGCACAACCCCCUUUUCCACACAAGGCUGUGAUCCAUGAAGGAGAUGAAUGAGUUAACAUUUAAAUAGGAGGAUUCAGUUGGGCCUCAUUGAACAGAUGAUGUCUGAGCAAAGAUUUAAAUGAGAUGAGAGAAUGCUGUAGGGAUGUAACUAGAAGUGUAUUCUAAGGAGAUGGAUUCCAGGAGGGCCAGUUACUCAUCUGGUAACUGAGGAAAGAGGAUGAAGAUGGGUAAAAAAUAGAAUUUUAAGGGCUGAAGUUUGCAAGGCUUCUUGCUAGAUAAGUGACCCCAGCAGGCACAGUUCCAAGGAGCAAGAAGUUUCUAGAAUGACAAAAGACAGUUAUAAAAGAGGAACUGAGAAGUAUUUACUAUGCUUUCCACAGGUCUUGGCAUACUGUCAUCUACUAGGAGUCACUAUAAAUAGACUGUUUGAAAAAUCACAGAGGUUUAAAUGACAACCAAGAGCUAGGGUGCCACUGAAAGGAAUAUCACAAGAAUCAGGAAUAUGACAGAAGGCAUCACAAAAUAUCACAGAAGGAAUGAAUUUAUUUGCUUCAAGCAUGCUAGUCAACAACUGUUUACAAACUUGAGAAAGAAAAUCAAUUCUAACCUUUCAUUUAACAAGCAACUCUUACUUAUUGAGCCCGACUAUAUAGAUAGUGCUGAGAUGAACCAACUAUCUACUGAUGAGACAGUGUUAAAUUAAUGUAUCUAUUUAACAAGCUUCUAUUUUGUGUGUCAAGCACUAUACUUUAGGUCCUGGGUGAUUAGUGAAUAAAAAACAGACAUGAUUCUAUCCUUUGAAGUUUUCUGUCUACUGAAGGAAACGGUUACUAAAUAAACAGU